This 343-nucleotide ribosomal RNA is filed under the name uncultured bacterium. RNAcentral's name for it is "bacterial SSU rRNA". It matches the Rfam family "Bacterial small subunit ribosomal RNA", at positions 8 to 334 of the family's 1533-position model. The record is from RNAcentral.
AGAGUUUGAUUAUGGCUCAGGAUGAACGCUGGCGGCGUGCUUAACACAUGCAAGUCGAACGGGAAACCUAUUAUUGAAACUUCGGUUGAUUUAAUUUGUUUCUAGUGGCGGACGGGUGAGUAACGCGUGGGUAACCUGCCCUAUACAGGGGGAUAACAACCAGAAAUGGUUGCUAAUACCGCAUAAGCGCACGGGACCGCAUGGUCCAGUGUGAAAAACUCCGGUGGUAUAGGAUGGACCCGCGUUGGAUUAGCUAGUUGGUGGGGUAACGGCCCACCAAGGCGACGAUCCAUAGCCGGCCUGAGAGGGUGAACGGCCACAUUGGGACUGAGACACGGCCCAG